CCUUUAUUCUGACAGAUAAAAAUGCCCAUAUAGGUGAUGUAGUUCCAGAGAAACUCAACUUUUUAUCAUGGGAUCUGCCAAUUUUCAGAGCAGAGGCCAGUAACCUCUAGGUCCAAAGUCUCUCUUUCUGAACCAACUCUCGUCGGUGAGAAGUUAAGACUAGUUUUUCUAGUAAACUUUCUUUCCGGUUUGGCUUGGUAGAACGAUAGGAUUAAGGAUUUAGGCUCCCAGCUGGGUCUUCAACCCAACACUUUCUGAACUCUUGUUGGGGACCCAUGUUUUCACUGCUCCUGCGAGCUCCGGCCCCCCGAGUCCUCUCUCCCGGCCUAAGCAGCUCAACCAGAAAGAAAGCUUCUUCUACCCCCUUGAUCCGGAUUGCGUGUUAAAGGGCACAAACAACUCUUGCGUUCCCAAGAAACCCAAUAGUUACACAGCUUAACACAGCAAAACCUAUCAAGGCAUAGUAAGGCUAUGUCUGUGCAGAAGCUAGAUUAGUAUUUAUUUAUUUAUAUAUUUUUUGUAUCAUAGAUUUAGAUGUUUUCACAGUCCUUUGUUUCCUUCGUAAGGAGUGAAUUUGGUUUUGAUAAUCUUUCGUAGUGCCUCCAGUUUUAACGAGUGUUUUUGUGAUCUUGCCUCCGUUGAAAGAGUGCUUACCCGGUAUUUUGAUAAAGUUAAAAGCCUUUUUGUUUUCCUCCUGGAGUGGAGCGACAUUUGAUUGAUCAUUUUUAUAGCCACAUCCAUCCAUCCAUCUGCAAACUGCUUAUCCUGCACACAGGGUCGCGGGGGGCUGGAGUCCAUCCCAGCCAACUUCGGGCGAUAGACAGGGUACAUCCUGGAUUGGUUACUGGCUACACAGAGACAUACAACCAUUCACACUCACAUUCACACACCUACGGGCAAUUUAGAGUCCCCAAUCAACCUGAUCCCCAGAGCAUGUCUUUGGACUGUGAGAGGAAGCUGGAGAACCCGGAGAGAACCCACGCAGACACGGGGAGAACAUGCAGACUCCACACAGAAAGGAGGCGACAGUGCUAACCACCACACCACGUGCCGCCCCUUUUAUAGCCACACUUCUUCCUAAAUUGUUUAUUGGGAGAAGUGUGAUCUAGAUCAUUUUUAGCUCGUAUUUAUUUUCUCUGCCUUGGAGAGAUCCAGUCUUACUAAUAAAGACUACAAAUCCCUUAAAACUCUGCAACUGUGUUCUGCCGGGUCGUGACAUGUGUUUACUGGACAUUGUACUAUGCUUCCAGUCACCACCAAACUUAAACCUUCAAUUCCUUGCUCCUGAUUGAAUAGAUUGUACAUACAUGCGAUAUAUGAGACUUGAUUUAUAUAUAUAUUUAUCUCCUGCUAAUAGCAUCCUUCUUUGUAACCCUCAACCAUUAAAAACACAACAGAACCAUUGAACAAAUGCUUGGGUGUCACAGGAACAACCAGUGAGUGAGAUCAAAAUAGACCUUCAUUUCUCUUGCGUCUUUUGCAUACAGAGCAACAGGUUUGACUGAAUAUAAUAUAUGUUUUUUUGGACCAUAAAACUAGUAUGUAAAAUAAAUCCUUUAAGACAACAUGUACUCAGUGUUAUCCCAACAUAGACACUCCAACUUCUAACUGAAAGCCAAGUUAAUGAAAGUCUUUCAGGCUGCUCUGACGGCUGAAGGCUUUCAGAGAGAGAAUAGCCAGCGUCAGCCUUCACCGUUUACUGGGGGAAAGCAUUCAUUCUUUGAUUUCAUGUUUUAUAUGAAAGGUCAAUAUUGGAAUGCAACCCAAUUUCUGAUAAGGUCUAUUCAAUGCACCUUUUAUUUCCACACAAAAGUGUGAACUAAAUGUGUACAGCAGCUAUUGCAGGUCCCCUUGGGAAUCCACCAGAAAGAAGAUAUACUUGUAAUACCAACAUUAUAUCUCAAUCUAUCUUACGUUUGCUAGGCUUAUCCUACCCACCGAAAAAAAGCUUCUUGGAGUCAGGGGACUUUGAAACUUUUCCUCCCGUAGAAGAAUGUGGUUAUUAUCUUGUAUAAGUUGUGCUUAAGAUCAACAGGAUGAGCAAAUAAUCGAUCGAAUCAAACGACAGUCAUACACAAAGUACUGUAUGAGUCAUUUCUAUGCAUUCCUACGACACACCCAUUUACGGUAUGUGUUGUGUAUUGAUAUUAAGUUUAUAUCAAUUCCGUAGGAAUUAAGUUUCCUACGGGGCCGACUCAAGGUACUGAUGCACCCCAGCAUGGGCCUACACCCUCACCACUCAGACCCAGAGACAGUGGAAUUGUAGACUUACCCAUACGUCGUCAUUACCCCACAAGAGAACGACGACCCCCCCCCCGGACAGAUUGAACAUGUAGUGUAGAGACUAGCCUCCAACAUUGGGGCAGAAUACCCCCCAGGGUCAAGUCUGGGAAUGGAGGUUGUCUACCAUCUUUCCCUAGUUCAGGGGAAUGUUACUUUUGUUUAUCUGUUAAAGGUAAUUUGGUAAAGUUGUUAAAGCAGAGGAGCUGUUAUAAUAAAAAGAAAAGAUUGUUUACUUCUUUAUGGUUGGGGAGUUAAAAGUAGAGGGGGAGGAAUGUUGUGUAUUGAUAUUAAGUUUGUUCCUACGGAGCAUCCAUAUUGAAAAAGGAACCGGCACUGGAUGCUGGGUAUUGUUUGUCUCAUGCAACGUCCAUUAAAAGAACACCCGUGAUUUUCCUACAGGGUCUCAUGUCUGAUCAUUUUGUUGUAUUUGCAGAAUCAGCUACACAACAGUAUGGAUCAGUCCUGUACAUUCCAAUGGCAAGGCCAUUUAAGGUAUGAGUUAAUCCUUUAAUUGGAAUGAGAGACCCACAUAAAGUAUGGGUCAGUCAUGUACAUUCCUCUGAUUAGUAGACGACUCCUGAGCCACAGCCACAAAUGUCGACCUUUUUCUAUAAAUCAAAUCUGAACUACAUACUCUAGAAUUAGAUCAAAUCCACAGACUGACAUAAAAAUAGACAUUUUACUAAACUGGCAUACGGUAUGUGAAAGCGGGCUAAUGCAUAAUUUCAAUAAGCUCUGUAAUAUGCCCUUGUUGUUUGAGGCCAGUGAUUUCACUAAUUAUACGGCCUUCCCUGCUCAGCAUUUCCAGGCCGACUGCGAUCAAUGAAAUUAUCUGAACGCCCAACAUGGACCAGGGGGUCUAAACGCACACUGGACAGGGCUAAUGUCAGUCUGCCUCUCUGGGUAUUGAUUCUUCUACACUGUGCGUCCACUUGCUCACAAGCUGUGAUUGAGCAUUUCAAUUGAAAGCAGAGAAUGCCUCACGGCCUCCUGUUUAUAAUCAGUUUGUAUGUUGUUCGAAUUACUCAACACACGGCAUCUGCAUCCUUAGAGACUUGCCUGCCCUACAGCAUACAAGCAUGAAAUGAUGUUAUAUGUGCGUGUAAUGAGGAAGAGGAUUCCCUAUAAAAAAGUACACAGCUGCAAUGUCUUGCUCCACAUGUAUAAUAUAUAUACAUAAUUGAAUAUAUAUAUAAUUGACUAAUACGAAAUACUUUCCUAUCUCCUAGCGUCGGGCCUAACAACACCGCCGAACUGUUACAUUAUUAUCGUUAUCGUCCUGUAGAGAUUUUAAUUAAUCCACCACGGACCCACAGAUGACCAGUGUAAACAGACCAAAGCAAAAAUAUUCCCCCAGAGUACAAUAUUUAUUUGAGUUUCUUAAAAUAUCAAAAAGGUAACAAUUCAUUUCAAUAAUUCCCGUCAGCUCUGGGAAUGUCGUCAAAGAAGGUUUUAAUAAACAAAUUCAAUUCUAUUGGGGUCGUAGGCUGCAGCGGGCUAAGAAGGGGAAAAGAAAGGGGGGGAGGGGGGGUGCAAGCUCUAGGACAAGGCCCUCACUCCCUCCAGUGCCACAUCCACUUCUACGCAAAACAAUGUAAAUCAAAAACCAAAAACAUGCAACUAAGAAGAAGGGGAGGAGAAAGUAAGAGGCCCAGUCCAACCAGCCCCACCACCAUCCGGGUAGCCAUGCUGCUGCCAGCACCACGCACUCCUAAACAGAAACAAAUACAAAGUGUAUAAAUUAACUUCUGGGGGACAAAUCAUAAUUUGUUCAAGACACAGAAAAACUACCACAACGUAAUCUAACUGAAAAAAAUGAAACAAAUGAGACACAAAACAGAAACAAAACAAAACCAAGCAAAACAGCAGUGCUUCACGGCCUGGGCUGCAUUCUCUCCACCUGGGACGGCUCCCACCUGGUUUGGGCCUCCUUGAGGCACUGGGACUGGGGCAAAAACCAGAGAGUCACUAAGAGAAAAUGUAUUCUUUCUAAAACACGGGUAAAACUAAAAAAAAGUACCAGCUCAAAACAGGUUGUCAAAACCAGACUCCGACACGGGAAGAAAGCAUGCUCCCGAAGUGUCGUAAAAUGGAGCCUUUAUACGACUAAUUGGUGAACCAGGAAGUGGGAGGGGAUUAAACCUAUGGUAUCACGUGAGGGACAUUUCCUCACUGGCUACACAAGGUGCUCAAACCUCACGCAUUAACUGUGAGACACACGCAUUUCAACCAGUUCACAGGCCACAUCUGGUUGAAACCGUGUAGGAAAACCCGGAGGACAGACAAGAGAGAAAAACUGGUCAUGAAUCCAAAAAAUAAGAGACAAAGAGAAAGAAAAGACUGUUCAAUGAAAAGUGGAAGUCCGGUUGAGAAUAGAUGGUUUAUGAUCGAGCCCAAAAAAGAAUGUGUUGCACAGAUUGUAGGAGGUUUAAGAGGGUCUCUUUUGUAGUUGGGACAAGCAAUUUGACGGUGGAAACAAUAAAAGGACCAUGAAGUUUCCGUUGGCCAUGUCAAAAGGGCCGGGGCCUCCUCCAGACGUUCCCAGUUCACCCUCACUACACGCUUUUGGUUUACCGGGUCUGUCCCAAGUCUUCCCCCAUCCUCUGACCCAGCUCACCACCAGACGGUGAUCAGUUGACAGCUCUGAGCCUCUCUUGGAUGGAUGGAUGUCAAAAGCAUUGCAAGUAAACAGACAAAGACAACUAAGUAUUGCAUGUAGGUCCCUGGUCCUCAUGAAGUCGGCGGCAUAAUCACACCCUUGCAAACAAAUGCUUUGCUACUUGUUGAAAGCCAAAUCAUUUCAUGUAAUGAUUUUUACAUGUCAUUUAGCUCACACAAACACUGCUCCUGGCCCGGCCCCUCAGUCAAAUGAUCGAACCCAUUGUGGCCCGCGAGUCAAAGAGUUUGCCCAGCCCUGGGCCAGACACAACCACGAUCUAAGGAAACCUGCGAGGUUAUUAAGUUAUUAAUGUGCAUUAAUGUUGACAAUUAUAGUAAUGGGAAUGGAAAUGGUGUUAGAAGCGACAGAAGAGAGGCGCAUGGUGUGUUCUAAGAAAUCCCCAAAGCAGUCUAGGCCUAUGGCAGCCUAUCUAAGGGCUGGGCCAGACUAACCUGAGCCAGCCCUGACUGUAAGCCUUUUCAGAGAGGAAAGUCUUAGGUUUUGUGAACCUGAAAGUGGAAGCUGGUUCCACAAAAGAGAAGCUUGAUAACUGAAGGCUCUGGCUCCUCGACACAGCUCUCUAGUAGGGAAAUAUGAUAUUAGAAGCUCCUUAAGAUAAGACGGCUCUUGGCCAGCAAACACCUUGUAGGUGAGGAAGUACCUUGAAUUCUAUUCUUGAUAAAACCGGUAGAGUGCAGAGAAACUAAUACAGAACUAGUAUGACCUCAAGAUGAAUUGGACGUUUGCGCACAAACAUCUUGACAAUCAUCUGACUCAGAACCCGAUGUGCCUCUGUGUGAGACAUCACAGACUUUCUGUUGUCUAAGUAAUCUUGACUACGGUGAAACAUUAUUUUUUCCCAACAUUUGGAAACUUUCAAAUUAAGUACAAUAGAUCUGGAAAAUUCACCAUUCUAUCAUUUUGAUGCAGAAGUUAAUUCACUGUCUACAUUUAAAAUAGGUUUUUCGCACUAUUGUCCUAUUUGCACAGGACUAGUUUUACCAAAGGGGCUUGAGAUUUAGAAAUGCAAAUCAGAUGAGAUGUCUUUUUACUUUUUUUUACUAGUUUACUUUUGUAACUCUUGAAAAACCUCUUUCCCAUGGCUAGGUGUGUCUCUGUGCUGUGUAGCAAGAUGAGCUUCUUGAAUUUGCCCAUACAAUUCACAGACAUGGCAUAUUGCAUUUACAAGCAUUACAAAUAAUAGUCCUGUGCAAAUAGGGCUUCAUAUGCAUAUGAAGAAUUAGAGUGAGGGGUUUGAAAGUGUUUGCUAAUGGCGGGGAAGGUUUAUUGCAAAGAUGCAAUUAAAUGCAUUAUAGGGGAGGUACAAUCCAGUGUUCUCGAAGCUAGUAAGUAAGUAAGUCUCACAACGCUACAUUUCGGAGUGAUGUGGUAUCAAACAGCAAUUCAGCUCUACACACUGCAAUAUAGAAUAUUAUUAACACAUUUCUAACUUUCUUUCUUUUCUAAGAAAGUAAUAUGGGAGUUUUUUAAUUGUAUUGGUCGGUAUUGUAACAAGAGUGGAUUUUCCAUUGCAUCAUCUAUGCCAGUGUUAUAAUAAUAUUUUUCAAGAUAACAAAUACUGUGUGUUGUUCUUUAAGACCAUGUAGGAAGUGAAAAUACCUCUAAGCCCAUGUCUUGCUUGACUUUAGUUAUUGAUUCGAUUUGUAUAAACUGCUUUAGUGGAAUGUAACGCCAUGGAACAAGGCAAAAUGAGUCAAUAUUUAAUCAGUCCGAAAAAAACACUGUAUGAAGACGCCAUUUUCACAUCUU
Long non-coding RNA from Gasterosteus aculeatus aculeatus (three-spined stickleback), 6712 nucleotides. The record is from Ensembl. NCBI's taxonomy places the organism in Eukaryota, Metazoa, Chordata, Actinopteri, Perciformes, Gasterosteidae.